RNAcentral lists this ribosomal RNA (579 nucleotides) under uncultured eukaryote. Its description in RNAcentral is "eukaryotic LSU rRNA". The stretch from base 186 to 339 matches the Rfam family "5.8S ribosomal RNA". The record is from RNAcentral.
UCGUAACAAGGUCUCCGUUGGUGAACCAGCGGAGGGAUCAUUAUCGAGUUAUUCAACUCCCAAACCCUAUGUGAACUUACCACUUGUUGCUUCGGCGCGCGCUUCGGCGCCGCCGAGGACACUUAAACUCUUUGUUUUUAUAAGCAUUUCUGAGUGGCCGAAAGGCAAAAAUACAAAUGAAUCAAAACUUUCAACAACGGAUCUCUUGGUUCUGGCAUCGAUGAAGAACGCAGCGAAAUGCGAUAAGUAAUGUGAAUUGCAGAAUUCAGUGAAUCAUCGAAUCUUUGAACGCACAUUGCGCCCGCCAGCAUUCUGGCGGGCAUGCCUGUUCGAGCGUCAUUUCAACCCUCGAGCCCGACUCUUUUGAGGACGGCUCGGCGUUGGGGGACGGCAGACUCCCCCCGGCAUCUCGCCGGGGACGCCGCCCCCGAAAUCUAGUGGCGGCCCUCCGAGGCGACCUCUGCGUAGUAACUUGUUCUCGCACCGGAAAGCUCAGAGCGGCCACGCCGUAAAACCCCAACUUUUUUCAGGUUGACCUCGAAUCAGGUAGGACUACCCGCUGAACUUAAGCAUAUCAAU